GGCAGCAGAGUUCCGGAGGGCUCCCAGGACCUUCAACCAGAAAGAGACACAGCCCUGCAAGGAAUGUACUAUAGAGCCAAUUUUACCGGCAAAGGAAUGGAAGAUCUGAAAGGCUAGGCGAUCCCACAAGCAGCGAGGAGCAGGCUGGAAUUUGAACCAAUCGGCAUGAUUCCCAAGCUCAAGUUUUGGCCACCCCUGCACUGCCAGGGACAAAAAAAAAAAAAAAAAAAAAAAGAAACCUGGGAGGAGAGCCAAGCUAGGGAGUCAAGACCCUCCAGCCAGGUCUGGAUGGGAGGCAGGUGCCUCCACCCUAGUCCCAGAGCAAGUUCUGCUGGCUUCAGCCACCUGACUUCCCUGUGAAGUUGGGCAGAGGCCAGAGCAGACUGUGUGUGAUUCUGGCCCCAGCCCCAGCACCUCUACCCCCACCUUUACUACCCCUAGGCUGCGGGAAGAGGCUUUGCCCAGCAAUAGUCCUGAUCUAAUGGAUCCUGUGAAGCACAAUAAACAGAUAGUAUUUCUGCAUAUGUCACUCUGAGUAUGACGGCAGUAAUCUUGAAACUCCCCUUGACCACCUGGCACUCUGGAGACGGAACUCCACAGCCUGUUUUCAAAGCCAACUCCUGGCUGGAAGUUCCUCUUCAAGUCUAAAUGAAGUAAGCAGUGCUGCAGUCUUCCCUCAACUGUGCAG
This 688-nucleotide long non-coding RNA is filed under the name Pan troglodytes (chimpanzee). Its description in RNAcentral is "long non-coding RNA NONPTRT000245". Lineage: Eukaryota; Metazoa; Chordata; Mammalia; Primates; Hominidae. The record is from RNAcentral.